GUCAUUCCAACUCUACAAUUCCAUGAUACUCCUCCUUUGUUUUCGGUUUCUCCCCACAUCCAAACAGUAUUGCGUGGCCUCUGGGCAUCCUCAGUCCUAGAUGGGCUGCUUUGGAGUCUCCUCAUAAAAACACCAGGAUUCUCCAGAACUGCUGGUUGCAUGAAAAUGAUGGAUAACUCAGGAGGAGGACACCAGAGUCUACAAUAAGAGGACCCAGGAGCCAUAUAAUGCAAGCACCAGCUCUCCGCUGAAGAAACGCCCGAAGCCUGAGUUACCGGACCAGCGCUGGGCAACAGAAUGGGGGGUUUGAAUAGGACACAAAAGAAAACCCCACGCUGAAAAGAGGCGGCCUAGCCUGCUACAAGCAAGUCAACUGCCAAACUGUCAUUUUGCCAUGCGGCUGAACAGAAGGGCCCAUGUAACGACAACCACCAAACUCAUUUAAACUCUGAAAAGCUUGGAUAUCACUGAGCAUGUUUAAUCGUAUCAGUCCUGUACAGCAACAAUCUGAAAAGGUCAAAACAAAAUGGGAAGAGCCAACACUAUCCUUGGUCCAAAUCGCUCAUCGUAAGUCCUGUUGCGCCAAAGACAGAUCUGGCCUGAAAGCUUUCCAUUAAGGUCCAUGACAGAAUUUUUAUAGCUACUCAUCAAUGAUGCAAAAUGCAAGAGUGAGAAGGUCCAAGCAAAGGAAGAACUCCAGCAAAAGAGUAAGAACACCAGCAACCCUGUAGACGUAUAUGUUGUUAUUACCACGCAUUUUGAUAAACUUGAUAAACACCCCGAGUGAUGGGUACUUUCAUACUAUACUUUAAUUAUUCUUAAUGUAAUGCAGAAUCUACUUUAUCUCAUUGGACUUGAAGAACUGGAACUUGUGCAAGUUUGUGCACUACAGUCACAUCCUUCUUGCGCUGUGUUGACCACUUUUUCAAAUAUCCACAAUGGCCAUUACUUAUCCACAGCAGCUGUUCAAAAUCUUGCAUCAGAAAGUGAUGGGCACUCCUUUGGCGGAAGUUUUCAAGCAGAGGUUGGAUAGCCACAUAUCAGGUGUG
Molecule: long non-coding RNA, 1049 nt
Organism: Podarcis raffonei (Aeolian wall lizard)
Lineage: Eukaryota; Metazoa; Chordata; Lepidosauria; Squamata; Lacertidae
Exons: 3
Source: RefSeq, a predicted model, not a curated record